GACAGAGGUUGCAAACGUUGUUCGGAAUUACUGGGCAUAAAGCGCACGUAGGCGGUUCGUUAUGUCGGAUGUGAAAGCCCUUGGCUUAACCGAGGAAGUGCAUCCGAAACUGGCGAGCUAGAGUACGAAAGAGGAUCGCGGAAUUCCCGGUGUAGAGGUGAAAUUCGUAGAUAUCGGGAGGAACACCGGUGGCGAAGGCGGCGAUCUGGGUCGAUACUGACGCUGAGGUGCGAAAGCGUGGGGAGCAAACAGG
RNAcentral lists this ribosomal RNA (253 nucleotides) under uncultured bacterium. Its description in RNAcentral is "partial 16S ribosomal RNA". It matches the Rfam family "Bacterial small subunit ribosomal RNA", at positions 524 to 776 of the family's 1533-position model. The record is from RNAcentral.